Small nucleolar RNA from Lolium rigidum, 108 nucleotides. Lineage: Eukaryota; Viridiplantae; Streptophyta; Magnoliopsida; Poales; Poaceae. The record is from RefSeq and is a predicted model, not a curated record.
AAACCAUGAUGAGGAUAGAGUCUUAUCAUAGUGUUGUAUCUCUGCCAAGCAUCAUACAAGCUUUCUCCAUCAAAUUGAGCAAAUCUUGUAAUCUUGUCUCUGUACUCU